UACGAAGGGGGCUAGCGUUGCUCGGAAUCACUGGGCGUAAAGGGUGCGUAGGCGGGUCUUUAAGUCAGGGGUGAAAUCCUGGAGCUCAACUCCAGAACUGCCUUUGAUACUGAAGAUCUUGAGUUCGGGAGAGGUGAGUGGAACUGCGAGUGUAGAGGUGAAAUUCGUAGAUAUUCGCAAGAACACCAGUGGCGAAGGCGGCUCACUGGCCCGAUACUGACGCUGAGGAGCGAAAGCGUGGGUAGCAAACAGG
This 253-nucleotide ribosomal RNA is filed under the name uncultured bacterium. RNAcentral's name for it is "partial 16S ribosomal RNA". It matches the Rfam family "Bacterial small subunit ribosomal RNA", at positions 524 to 776 of the family's 1533-position model. The record is from RNAcentral.